AGUGAACGCUGGCGGCAUGCCUAACACAUGCAAGUCGAACGGACUUUGGCAGUGUAUCGUCAAGGUUAGUGGCAAACGGGUGAGUAAUACGUGAAUAACCUCCCUUCGAGUGGGGGAUAACUCCGGGAAACCGGAGCUAAUACCGCGUGAGACCACGUCCUGGCAUCAGGAUGAGGUUAAAGUCCCGCAAGGGACUCUUGAAGAGGGAUUCACGGCCUAUCAGCUAGUUGGCGGGGUAACGGCCCACCAAGGCUACGACGGGUAAGCGGUCUGAAAGGACGACCGCUCACAAUGGCACUGAGACACGGGCCAUACUCCUACGGGAGGCAGCAGUGGGGAAUUUUGCGCAAUGGGGGAAACCCUGACGCAGCAAUGCCGCGUGGAGGACGAAGGUCUUCGGAUUGUAAACUCCUUUUGCGGGGGACAAAUAGCGGCGUGAAUAACGCCGACUGAUGGUACUCCGUGAAUAAGCCACGGCUAACUUCGUGCCAGCAGCCGCGGUAAAUGACGUCAGA
Molecule: ribosomal RNA, 515 nt
Filed under: uncultured bacterium
Lineage: Bacteria
Description: bacterial SSU rRNA
Rfam family: Bacterial small subunit ribosomal RNA
Source: RNAcentral